Molecule: ribosomal RNA, 433 nt
Filed under: uncultured bacterium
Lineage: Bacteria
Description: partial 16S ribosomal RNA
Rfam family: Bacterial small subunit ribosomal RNA
Source: RNAcentral
AACGAACGCUGGCGGCAUGCCUAACACAUGCAAGUCGAACGAGACCUUCGGGUCUAGUGGCGCACGGGUGCGUAACGCGUGGGAACCUGCCCUUAGGUUCGGAAUAACUCCCCGAAAGGGGUGCUAAUACCGGAUAAUGUCUUCGGACCAAAGACUUAUCGCCUUUGGAUGGGCCCGCGUUGGAUUAGCUAGUUGGUAGGGUAAAAGCCUACCAAGGCGACGAUCCAUAGCUGGUCUGAGAGGAUGAUCAGCCACACUGGGACUGAGACACGGCCCAGACCCCUACGGGAGGCAGCAGUGGGGAAUAUUGGACAAUGGGCGAAAGCCUGAUCCAGCAAUGCCGCGUGAGUGAUGAAGGCCUUAGGGUUGUAAAGCUCUUUUACCCGGGAUGAUAAUGACAGUACCGGGAGAAUAAGCUCCGGCUAACUCCGUG